GGCAGGAAGGUUAGGCCACUGGCAAAGUCCUCAGCGAGAGCCAGCUGAUCACAAAUGCCAACUGUGUGUCUUGGGGCCAGUUAAGUCCUCUCGUCUGCCCAAGCUCUCAGGACACCAUUUCAUUGCUCUCAGGGUUCCCAGGAGACUGCUGCGGACACGGACCAUCCCCCACUUGGCCCGCAUGGAUGGGGUGCUGAGCAGCGUCUUCAAAGUGCUCUUUCUCACCUCAAGUUUCCAUUUUAAAUAGUAAAAUGCUGGAGCUAGGAGAUAGGCAGAUAUUUUUCUCUCAUAUCAAAAAAGGAAGACCGUAAGCUAGGUGAUUAGCUGUAAGUGGGAAGCGAACUAUCAUCUCCAGUAGGAAUACUCACUUUUUGAGGAAGUGUGUGGAAGUUCUGCAGUCCCACCUUGCCCUAUGACCUUUAAUUCUCUUAGUUCUUCUGCCACAGGGAAGCACCGAACGACUAAUAAAAGAUUUGAUCUUGCCAUAAUUUCCCAAGCAGGGAUCAACAAAUUGAUAAAGCAAACUCAGAGGCCACAUCUUAUUAGACAGCAAGCUGCCUUCUUCUUUAUUAUGGGAGAAUCUUCAGUGGGCACUAUCCCUGCCUGGAGACCAACUGAGGUAGAGAAUUCUAGAAGUUUACACCAUAUCUUGAUUGUUAUCUGGAUGUUUGAACUUCUGGAUAUUUCUGUCCGAGGAAUACCCAGGAGAAGAUUCCUCUCCCCAUACACACCUGUGAUUUUCAAGUCCUUUUAUUCAUGCCUUUAAAUGAAAGGGUUGAGUAUACAAGACUCAGAUUCAUACCUUCCACAAAGCUGGAGGAAAAUGAAGAGCAAGAUGGCCGCAUCCCAGUCUGUGGAACCCAUUUCCCCAAAGCCUAAGCUUCCUUGGAGACCACCUUGUCUCAACUUAGGCAAUUUCAGGAAUGUAACAGAGAUCUAAGAAGAGGGUGUCACAACAGCAGCUUACCUGUGAUGAAAGGACAGAUGCAUUCCUUUCUUUCAUUUUCCUUCACUCUAGCCAGUGGCAGCCACUGCCUCAGGUUUUAUUUACCUUUCCUCAGGCCUGAUGAGGACAUUAUGUUCUUAAGAGAUCCCUUAAGGUUGUUUCAAAGGAACAAAAGAGUAGCGAGCAAAAGAAAAAAUCAUUAUAAUGAAAAAAAUGUUUUCCUUUAUCUCCUAUUUUUUUUUUUUUGGUAUGUUUUUGAGAGAUGUGAAGGAAAGAAAAGUACACCAUUUUCCCCCUAGAAUAAGAUUUUGGAUCAUUGCUGCAUUUGAUUACAUAUUUCUGCAAACUCUGUGUUCUUGAAGAAAACUAUAUUUUCUCAUGUUUUUUUUUUAAUGGAUGCCUGUGCCAAAAUUUGGCUCUCAUUUCACAGCAGAAAGGAGAGACUGCAUAGAUCCCAAAACUAUGAGCUGUAUGCGUUCCUCCUGCAAACUAUCCCCUAAUCAGGCAUCAAAAGUGUCUCAUUUUUGAGGUUAUAUUAAAUCUUUUUGUAUUUCCCUUUCUGUCCUAGAUGUUACAUGUCAGGAUGCAGCCAGAAUAGGUGUAACAUACCAUAGAGACUGUUGUUUGGUGCAGAGGGAGACACAGAGUUUGAUCAACACCUGCUUGCUGAGGUGGGCUGGAGCCCAGGAGAGCUGCUGCAGGGAUAGGAACAGAGUCUGGCAGGAAAUGUGUAAUAUUUAGGGGACAUUGAUUCAGAGAUCCCUAGAGUGCUACAAGAAAGAGUUUGAAAUUGAGAAGGAAUCAAGUAGAUGCACAUUCUGACUCUAACAUUAAUUUUCAUUGGAGUUCUUUAAGAUUUCAUUUGAAAAAAAUAGAAUUCUGUUGCAAGAAGAAAGAAGAAAAGGAAAGAGAAUAAUUAGAUGAUGAUGAUGAUGAUGAUGAUGAUGAUUUUGGGACUGGGGAGUAAUCCAGGGGUGCUUAACCACUGAGCCCCAUCCACAGCCCUUUUUUGUAUUUUAUUUAGCGACAAGGUCUCACUAAAUUACUUAGGGCCUCCCUAAGUUGCUGAGGCUUGCUUUUAAAUCAUGAUUCUUCUGUCUUAGCCUCCAGAGCUGCCGGUAUUACAGAUGUGCGGCACCAUUUUAAUAAUUAUUGAGACAGUUUAAAAUAGGAUAGUCUGGUUCACAAUAUGUCAUCCAUAUUAUCUGUGCUUGGCACAUAGUGGGCAUUUGGUGCAUAAUUCAGCAAUUUCAUUUAAAAAUUGUCUGAAUAAAUAAAUGAAAUAAAUAAAUGAAAGUAUCACAGAUCAGUUGUUAACAGGUGAGCUGAGACUAUGUAAUGGGAUAUAGCAACAGAUAAACAGAGAACAGUAUUGAUUAAUUCAAAAGGUAAAAAGGCAGACAGGUAGUGCCUAAGUCUGCUGACUGGAAGUAAGGUCCUAGACAUUGGGGCACAUUCUGGGGCCUGGGAGAGGGCCUGGGUAGAGGAGGGCAGGCUGAAUUAUGACAGCAGACAAAGCAGGGAUUGACCUAGCACUUGCAGCAAAAUAGGAAUGCAGUUUUCAAAGGUGACACUAGGCUAGGGGCAGACUUUCAGAAGGGAGACUCAAGUACUUAAGUUGGUCCCACCUAAUCUGAUAGGCUCUGGGAGCUGGGGUGAAUUGGCAAACAAUCUCAGUCAUGAUUAGAACUUGGGGACAGAAGCUAAAAUCCAGCCUGGGUUUUCACUUAAUCUCUUUUCCCAUGUUACCAGCAAUAAACUCAGUUUCCUAAGUUUAUUCGGCAAUUUCUUUUAUCUUUAAAAAGGUUUCAUUGGGGAAAAAUCACAGCUGGGUAAGGGAAAAGGUGACUUUUAGAGGCAAGAGAAAGAAUUGAGGGAGCUCUAUAAGCCAUUUCACAUCUCACAUCGAAGAGUUUGAAAGCCACUGAUACAAUACCUACCAGGUAACUUCUUCACAUUCACAGUUAUCACGAGUGAAUGAAGUAAAUUAACUUUCUGGACAAAAAGUCUGAUCACACAAAACAAAAUGUUCUUUAUCAGAGUGCCAUGAAAUAUGGAGCAUUCUCUACAAUGCAAUAAUACAGUAUUUACCAAGAAGAUUAAGAUUAUACUUUUAUUUAAUUAAUGUUUACUAUGAGACUGUACAUGCUCAUGAUAAAAUAUUUAAACAGGGUAGAAAUAAAGUAAAUGUGGUCUUCUUCCUUUGUUCAGUAUCAUUCACAAGAAUGUCAAAAAGUGUAUUAUAAAUGGUUUUAAAAAUAUUCUAUAAAUAAGCAAAUGUAUGUGUUUGUAUUUUUCUUACACAAGUGGAAUCAUAACAUAUUGAAGUUUUGCAACCUGUUUUCUGUAAAUAAUAUUUCUUGAACUUCUUUCUAUGAAGGGACAUAUUGAUCUACAGAUCUACUUACUACAUUAAUCUAUAUAAUAUUCCAUCUUCAUGUAAGUUGUAUUG
RNAcentral lists this long non-coding RNA (3398 nucleotides) under Ictidomys tridecemlineatus (thirteen-lined ground squirrel). RNAcentral describes it as "lncRNA (ENSSTOG00000033586.1)". The record is from RNAcentral. Lineage: Eukaryota; Metazoa; Chordata; Mammalia; Rodentia; Sciuridae.